This 497-nucleotide ribosomal RNA is filed under the name uncultured bacterium. Its description in RNAcentral is "partial 16S ribosomal RNA". It matches the Rfam family "Bacterial small subunit ribosomal RNA", at positions 28 to 507 of the family's 1533-position model. The record is from RNAcentral.
GACGAACGCUGGCGGCGUGCCUAAUACAUGCAAGUUGAGCGCUGAAGGUUGGUACUUGUACCAACUGGAUGAGCAGCGAACGGGUGAGUAACGCGUGGGGAAUCCGCCUUUGAGCGGGGGACAACAUUUGGAAACGAAUGCUAAUACCGCAUAAAAACUUUAAACACAAGUUUUAAGUUUGAAAGAUGCAAUUGCAUCACUCAAAGAUGAUCCCGCGUUGUAUUAGCUAGUUGGUGAGGUAAAGGCUCACCAAGGCGAUGAUACAUAGCCGACCUGAGAGGGUGAUCGGCCACAUUGGGACUGAGACACGGCCCAAACUCCUACGGGAGGCAGCAGGAGGGAAUCUUCGGCAAUGGACGAAAGUCUGACCGAGCAACGCCGCGUGAGGGAAGAAGGGUUUCGGAUCGUAAAACUCGGUUGGUAGAGAAGAACGUUGGUGAGAGUGGAAAGCUCAUCAAGUGACGGUAACUACCCAGAAAGGGACGGCUAACUACGUG